Molecule: non-coding RNA, 100 nt
Organism: Ostertagia ostertagi
Lineage: Eukaryota; Metazoa; Nematoda; Chromadorea; Rhabditida; Trichostrongylidae
Source: the annotation of a GenBank genome assembly
AAAAUUUUUAAGCGCGUCAAGAAUUUCACCUCAUCCUUACGCAGGGGCCAUGAUAUUCUUCUGUGUAUUGUUCCAAUUUUAGUAAUUGUCAGGAAUGAAC